Molecule: long non-coding RNA, 380 nt
Filed under: Bos taurus (domestic cattle)
Lineage: Eukaryota; Metazoa; Chordata; Mammalia; Artiodactyla; Bovidae
Description: long non-coding RNA NONBTAT001053
Source: RNAcentral
GUUGUUAUAGACUAUCACUUUUUAAUGUGAGUGAAAAUUAGAUGAUUUGGUUAUACUUGUGAAAACAUGCUCCCAAAUAAAUUCAAUUAAUGGGCACUUCCCUGCUGAGAUUUUGUUAUCAUUCAUUUAAUUAUCUUGUCAAGCUUUAUUGUUACGACAUUUGUUUUGGUUUUUUAGUCAAUAAACUAAGGGAAUUUCUCCAACAGCCUUAUACCUCUCCUGCACUUGAUAUAGCAUCAUGCACUACAAAUUUCCAUCAGAAGUCGCUAAAGAAAUUUCCUACUGAGGUGAAGUAUUUAGUAACCAGCUUGAUUAUUUUUCAUAAGCAUUCUUAUUUGGUUUAAUUCUGACACUUUGCUGUAUUUGUAUGCAAGCCUAAA